Molecule: ribosomal RNA, 496 nt
Filed under: uncultured bacterium
Lineage: Bacteria
Description: partial 16S ribosomal RNA
Rfam family: Bacterial small subunit ribosomal RNA
Source: RNAcentral
GACGAACGCUGGCGGCGUGCCUAAUACAUGCAAGUUGAGCGCUGAAGGUUGGUACUUGUACCAACUGGAUGAGCAGCGAACGGGUGAGUAACGCGUGGGGAAUCUGCCUUUGAGCGGGGGCAACAUUUGGGAAACGAUGGUUAUACCGGAUUAAAACUUUAAACAACAGGUUUAAGGUUUAAAAGUUGAAAUUGAAUACCCAAAAGAUAACCCGCGUUGUAUUAGCUAGUUGGUGAGGUAAAGGGCCACCAAGGCGAUGAUACAUAGCCGACCUGAGAGGGUGAUCGGCCACAUUGGGACUGAGACACGGCCCAAACUCCUACGGGAGGCAGCAGUAGGGAAUCUUCGGCAAUGGACGAAAGUCUGACCGAGCAACGCCGCGUGAGUGAAGAAGGUUUUCGGAUCGUAAAACUCUGUUGGUAGAGAAGAACGUUGGUGAGAGUGGAAAGCUCAUCAAGUGACGGUAACUACCCAGAAAGGGACGGCUAACUACGUG